This 431-nucleotide ribosomal RNA is filed under the name Sordariales sp. RNAcentral's name for it is "SSU rRNA". It matches the Rfam family "Eukaryotic small subunit ribosomal RNA", at positions 1341 to 1791 of the family's 1831-position model. The record is from RNAcentral. Lineage: Eukaryota; Fungi; Ascomycota; Sordariomycetes; Sordariales.
CCUUAACCUGCUAAAUAGCCCGUAUUGCUUUGGCAGUACGCCGGCUUCUUAGAGGGACUAUCGGCUCAAGCCGAUGGAAGUUUGAGGCAAUAACAGGUCUGUGAUGCCCUUAGAUGUUCUGGGCCGCACGCGCGCUACACUGACACAGCCAGCGAGUAAAAGUGCCUUGACCGAGAGGUCUGGGAAAUCUUGUGAAACUGUGUCGUGCUGGGGAUAGACCAUUGCAAUUAUUGCUCUUCAACGAGGAAUCCCUAGUAAGCGCAAGUCAUCAGCUUGCGUUGAUUACGUCCCUGCCCUUUGUACACACCGCCCGUCGCUACUACCGAUUGAAUGGCUCAGUGAGGCGUCCGGACUGGCCCAGAGAGGUGGGCAACUACCACUCAGGGCCGGAAAGCUCUCCAAACUCGGUCAUUUAGAGGAAGUAAAAGUCG